CUGAUUCUGGCGGCUCGGGUCAAGACGCUGGCAGGAUGCUUUACACAUGCAAAUCGAACGGCAGCACGGACUUCAGUCUGGUGGCGAAGUGGCGAACAGGUGAGUAAUGUAUCGGAACGUGCCUAGUAGCGGGGGAUAACUGCGCGAAAGCGUAGCUAAUACCGCAUACGCCCUUCGGAAAGCAGGGGACGCUGGGGCCUCGCACUAAUGAAGCGGCCGAUAUCGGAUUGGCUAGUUGGUGGGAAGUAACAGCGGCUCACCGGGCGACGAUCCGUAGCUGGUUUGAGGACGACCAGCCACACUGGGACUGAGACACGGCCCAGACUCCUACGGGGAGGCAGCAGUGAAAUUUUUGGACAAUGGGGGAAACCCUGAUCCAGCCAUCCGCGUGUGCGAUGAAGGCCUUCCGGGUUGUAAAGCACUUUUGGCAGGAAAGAAACGGCACGGGAUAAUACCCCGUGCAACUGACCAGUACCUGCAGAAUAAGCACCGGCUAACUACGUGCCAGCAGCCACGGUAAUACGUAGGGUGCAAGCGUUAAUCGGAAUUACUGGGCGUAAAGCGUGCGCAGGCGGUUCGGAAAGAAGAUGUGAAAAUCCCAGAGCUUAACUUUGGAACUGCAUUUUUAACUACAAGGCUAGAGUGUGUCAAAAAAGGAGGUGGAAUUCCGCGUGUAGUGAAAUGCGGCUUGAAUGUGCGGAGGAACUUUACCAUUAGCGAAAGGCAUCUGGGAUAACACUGGCGCUCAUGCACGAAAGCGUGGGGCAAACAGGAUUAGAUACCCUGGUAGUCCACGCCCUAAACGAUGUCAACUAGCUGUUGGGGCCUUCGGGCCUUGGUAGCGCAGCUAACGCGUGAAGUUGACCGCCUGGGGAGUACACGGUCGCAAGAUUAAAACUCAAAGGAAUUGACGGGGACCCGCACAAGCGGUGGAUGAUGUGGACAAUUCGAUGCAACGCAAAAACCUUACCUACCCUUGACAUGUCUGGAAUCCCGAAGAGAUUUGCAGGGUGCUCGCAAGAGAACCGGAACACAGGUGCUGCAUGGCUGUCGUCAGCUCGUGUCGUGAGAUGUUGGGUUAAGUCCGCAACGAGCGCAUUUCUUGUCAUUAGUUGCUACGAAAGGGCACUCUAAUGAGACUGCCGACAAACCGGAGGAAGGUGGGGAUGACGUCAAGUCCUCAUGGCCCAUAUGGGUAGGGCUUCACACGUCAUACAAUGGUCGGGACAGAGGGUCGCCAACCCGCGAGGGAGCAAUCCCAGAAACCCGAUCGUAGUCCGGAUCGCAGUCUGCAACUCGACUGCGUGAAGUCGGAAUCGCUAGUAAUCGCGGAUCAGCAUGUCGCGGUGAAUACGUUCCCGGGUCUUGUACACACCGCCGUCACACCAUGGGAGUGGGUUUUACCAGAAGUAGUUAGCCUAACCGUAAGGAGGCGAUUACCACGGUAGGAUUCAUGACUGGGGUGAAGUCGUAACAAAGGUAG
RNAcentral lists this ribosomal RNA (1483 nucleotides) under uncultured Bordetella sp. RNAcentral describes it as "partial 16S-23S ribosomal RNA intergenic spacer". It matches the Rfam family "Bacterial small subunit ribosomal RNA". The record is from RNAcentral. Lineage: Bacteria; Pseudomonadati; Pseudomonadota; Betaproteobacteria; Burkholderiales; Alcaligenaceae.